GACGAACGCUGGCGGCGUGCCUAAUACAUGCAAGUAGAACGCUGAAGGAGGAGCUUGCUUCUCUGGAUGAGUUGCGAACGGGUGAGUAACGCGUAGGUAACCUGCCUGGUAGCGGGGGAUAACUAUUGGAAACGAUAGCUAAUACCGCAUAAGAGUAGAUGUUGCAUGACAUUUACUUAAAAGCUGCAAUUGCAUCACUACCAGAUGGACCUGCGUUGUAUUAGCUAGUUGGUGAGGUAACGGCUCACCAAGGCAACGAUACAGAGCCGACCUGAGAGGGGGGACGGCCAACCUGGGACUGAGACACGGCCCAGACUCCUACGGGAGGCAGCAGUAGGGAAUCUUCGGCAAUGGACGGAAGUCUGACCGAGCAACGCCGCGUGAGUGAAGAAGGUUUUCGGAUCGGAAAGCUCUGUUGUAAGAGAAGAACGAGUGUGAGAGUGGAAAGUUCACACUGUGACGGUAUCUUACCAGAAAGGGACGGCUAACUACGUG
RNAcentral lists this ribosomal RNA (495 nucleotides) under uncultured bacterium. Its description in RNAcentral is "partial 16S ribosomal RNA". It matches the Rfam family "Bacterial small subunit ribosomal RNA", at positions 28 to 507 of the family's 1533-position model. The record is from RNAcentral.